This 494-nucleotide ribosomal RNA is filed under the name uncultured Chloroflexota bacterium. RNAcentral's name for it is "bacterial SSU rRNA". It matches the Rfam family "Bacterial small subunit ribosomal RNA", at positions 355 to 864 of the family's 1533-position model. The record is from RNAcentral. Lineage: Bacteria; Bacillati; Chloroflexota.
UAGGGAAUAUUGGGCAAUGGGCGAAAGCCUGACCCAGCAACGCCGCGUGUGUGAUGAAGGCCUUCGGGUCGUAAAGCACUUUUCUGGGAGAUGAGAAAGGACAGUAUCCCAGGAAUAAGUCUCGGCUAACUACGUGCCAGCAGCCGCGGUAAAACGUAGGAGGCGAGCGUUAUCCGGAUUCACUGGGCGUAAAGCGCGUGCAGGUGGCGCGGUAAGUUGUGCGUGAAAUCUCCUGGCUCAACUAGGAGAGGUCGUUCAAUACUACCGUGCUUGAGAGCAGAAGAGGAAGAUGGAAUUCCCGGUGUAGUGGUGAAAUGCGUAGAUAUCGGGAGGAACACCAGUGGCGAAGGCGAUCUUCUGGUCUGUUUCUGACACUCAGACGCGACAGCUAGGGUAGUAAACGGGAUUAGAGACCCCGGUAAUCCUAGCCGUAAACGAUGUGAACUUGGCGUUGGUGGGUUAAACUCCAUCAGUGCCGUAGCAAACGCGAUAAG